UAUAGAGCAAAAGAAGAACUGAAACCGCAGAAUUAUCAAUAUGAAACAAAAAGAGCAGCAAUUGUUCACCCCAUUGCAAAAUAGUGGUGAAAAAUAACUCAAUUCAAAUCGGUUAAAGUUCAAAAUGGUGCUAGAAGCAACAAGUCUCCGCCGUAUCUGGAAGAAUUGUGAUUGCCUGUAUAGAUACGUUCCAUCGAAAUGAGAGUUUUUUCUCACAAGAGUAGUAUCGGGUAAAAAGGUUUGAGCCAAGGCGCAUUUAUUAAAAGUUGUGACAUAGACCAACAAAAAUGAGCACAAUACAAAUUUUUUUCUUGCAAGCACUUAAACAACAAAUGAUUUGUUUACAAAAUUCUUCAGUUUUUUAACACAAAACUACUAAUGUGUCUAAGGUAAUUAUCCAGUUUGAGGGUCACAUGAAAAAAUUGGUCACGAAGAGUCAAGAGACAUACCAAUCCAUGCGUAUUAAACCCAUUAUGAAUAAUGUGAAGGAGCAAAACGACUUUUUCCGUUCAAAAAUUAUUAAUAAAAUAAAUAAUAAUAAAAUAAUGUAUAAUGUUGCUCUUAUCUAUAACUAAGUACAUGAAAGUAAAUACACUUAGAGGUCAAACUUCACUUUCUAAAAACUAAUUCAAAAACGGAUUGAGCCAAGCUAAUUUACCCAUAUCAACUCUGGGCGAAAUUUUUAAAGCAAAAAGGUCAAUUGACUCAGAGGUUGUCUUUGAUAAUGAAACUUUGAAUGAUAUCAGCGAUUUAGUAGAUGGCAUAGAAUUAACACCAGCUACCCCAGAUGAAGGAGUACGGCACUGGACUUGAACGGCACUAUAUUGAUGGGAAAAAGAGUUCCGAUGCACAAUUUUAUAAAAUGCUGAGGAAAAUAUGAAAAAAGAAGAAAACACAGAACAGAAAAAGCAAGCGGAACCUAAACUAAAUAAUAUUUCAUAAAAAAUUAAAGUAUUAAAAUUGAACAUACACAUAUGCAUAUUUCUUUACCAAUUGCUUAGGGAUAUAUG
Long non-coding RNA from Anastrepha obliqua, 1010 nucleotides. RefSeq lists it as uncharacterized. The record is from RefSeq and is a predicted model, not a curated record. The transcript is spliced from 3 exons. NCBI's taxonomy places the organism in Eukaryota, Metazoa, Arthropoda, Insecta, Diptera, Tephritidae.